AUCUACGGCCAUACCACCCUGAACGUGCCCGAUCUCGUCUGAUCUCAGAAGCUAAGCAGGGUCGGGCCUGGUUAGUACUUGGAAGGGAGAUUUAGAAUGUCCCAGAAAAACUCAUGUUCUGAAGCGA
Molecule: ribosomal RNA, 127 nt
Filed under: Cavia porcellus (domestic guinea pig)
Lineage: Eukaryota; Metazoa; Chordata; Mammalia; Rodentia; Caviidae
Source: RNAcentral